AUGGAGCUCCACUUCCAGGUGCAGCCGCCAGUGCUCCAGCUGCAGGACUACUGCUACUACUACCAGCAGCAGCAGGAGGCCGCCGCCGCCGCCGCGCAGGCCAAGCCCACCAAGCCGCGGGGCCGGAAGAAGGGCAGCACCAGCCACAGCAAGUUCGUCGGCGUCCGCCAGCGCCCGUCGGGCCGCUGGGUGGCCGAGAUCAAGGACACCACGCAGAAGAUCCGCAUGUGGCUCGGCACCUUCGAGACCGCCGACGCCGCCGCGCGCGCCUACGACGAGGCCGCCCGCCUCCUCCGCGGCGCCGAGGCGCGCACCAACUUCGCGCCCCGCAUCUCCCCGGACUGCCCGCUCGCCGUCCGCAUCCGGGGCCUCCUCCACCACAAGAAGCUCAAGAAGGCCAGGCUGCCCGCCGCCUCCGCCAAGAUCCCCGGCUCCUCCUCCACGCCGCCCGCUCCCGCCGCAUACGCCACAAGCAAUAGCAAUAGCAAUAGCAACAGCAACAGUAAUAGCAUGGAUGGCGCUUGUGGGGGCGCCAGCAGCAGCAGUAGCAGCAGCGCGCUCAGCUGCGACGGCGCCAUGAAGCAAGGCGGCGGGGCACUGGACGCCGGGGAGGUGUACAGGCCGGAUUUCGCUCCCGUCGCCGGUACCGAGGAGCUGGAGUCUUGGAUGUUCGAGUCGUCGUUCGGCCAGUUCCCGGCGCUGGACGGUUUCGCCGCCGUCGACGCCUGCACGCUGCCAGCCGCGUCCACGGAGGAGACCAGCGUCGCCCCCGCGGCCGGGAUGGUGGAGUUCGAGCGGAUGAAGGUGGAGCGGCGGAUCUCGGCGUCCCUGUACGCCAUGAACGGCCUGCAGGAGUACUUCGACAGGGUGUUCGAGGCGUCCGCCGGCGACCCGCUGUGGGAUCUCUCGCCGCUCUGCCAGUAG
RNAcentral lists this ribosomal RNA (924 nucleotides) under Triticum aestivum (bread wheat). Its description in RNAcentral is "partial small subunit ribosomal RNA". Lineage: Eukaryota; Viridiplantae; Streptophyta; Magnoliopsida; Poales; Poaceae. The record is from RNAcentral.